This 1248-nucleotide ribosomal RNA is filed under the name metagenome. Its description in RNAcentral is "bacterial LSU rRNA". It matches the Rfam family "Bacterial large subunit ribosomal RNA", at positions 1635 to 2875 of the family's 2925-position model. The record is from RNAcentral.
GAUACGACCGUACCGCAAACCGACACUGGUGCGCGAGAUGAGUAUUCUAAGGCGCUUGAGAGAACUGAGGAGAAGGAACUCGGCAAAUUGACACCGUAACUUCGGAAGAAGGUGUGCCCUAUUAGUGUGUAGUGAACAACGAAGCAUGAAUGGGUUGCAAAAAAUCGGUGGCUGCGACUGUUUAUUAAAAACACAGCACUCUGCAAACACGAAAGUGGACGUAUAGGGUGUGACGCCUGCCCGGUGCUGGAAGAUUAAAUGAUGGGGUGCAAGCUCUUGAUUGAAGUCCCAGUAAACGGCGGCCGUAACGAUAACGGUCCUAAGGUAGCGAAAUUCCUUGUCGGGUAAGUUCCGACCUGCACGAAUGGCGUAACGAUGGCCACACUGUCUCCUCCUGAGACUCAGCGAAGUUGAAAUGUUUGUGAUGAUGCAAUCUCCCCGCGGAAAGACGGAAAGACCCCAUGAACCUUUACUGUAGCUUUGUAUUGGACUUUGAACAGAUCUGUGUAGGAUAGGUGGGAGGCUUUGAAGCAGGGUCGCUAGAUCUUGUGGAGCCAACGUUGAAAUACCACCCUGGUGUGUUUGAGGUUCUAACCUAGGUCCAUUAUCUGGAUCGGGGACAGUGCAUGGUAGGCAGUUUGACUGGGGCGGUCUCCUCCCAAAGCGUAACGGAGGAGUUCGAAGGUACGCUAGUUACGGUCGGACAUCGUGACGAUAGUGCAAUGGCAUAAGCGUGCUUAACUGCGAGACUGACAAGUCGAGCAGAUGCGAAAGCAGGACAUAGUGAUCCGGUGGUUCUGUAUGGAAGGGCCAUCGCUCAACGGAUAAAAGGUACUCUGGGGAUAACAGGCUGAUACCGCCCAAGAGUUCAUAUCGACGGCGGUGUUUGGCACCUCGAUGUCGGCUCAUCUCAUCCUGGGGCUGUAGCCGGUCCCAAGGGUAUGGCUGUUCGCCAUUUAAAGAGGUACGUGAGCUGGGUUUAAAACGUCGUGAGACAGUUUGGUCCCUAUCUUCCGUGGGCGCUGCAGAUUUGAGGAAGCCUGCUCCUAGUACGAGAGGACCGGAGUGGACACACCUCUGGUGUAUCGGUUGUCACGCCAGUGGCAUUGCCGAGUAGCUAAGUGUGGAAGAGAUAACCGCUGAAAGCAUCUAAGCGGGAAACUCGUUUCAAGAUGAGAUCUGCCGGGGCCUUGAGCCCCCUAAAGAGUCGUUCAAGACCAGGACGUUGAUAGGUCAGGUGUGGAAGUG